CUCCUAUGAGGAUCCUGGUGACUGUAUUUGGCUACCUGGAUAAUACAGAAUACUCUCCCCAUCUCUGAGAUUCUUAAUCCCAUCUGCAAGGUCUCCUUUGUUCUGUGACAUAUUCUAAGGUUCUGAGGAUUAGAUUAUGGACAUCUCUGGGAGAAGGAUAGAUAUUGAUCCUAUCAGAGAAGGCCUCUUAAGCACUAUGAUCUAUAUACUCUCAAAAAACCCAAGGAAUAUAGGGCUCUUGUUUUAGAAAUGGAACCUAAUAGUCUAAACAUAACUUCCUAAGUCUUAACAACAAAUCCUUGAGUAUAUGUAUUUUUACAUAGCAAUUCUAUAACCCAAAGACUGAAACACUCAAUUUCUAUAACUCAAGGAUUUCUGGACUAUUUCCUAAUGUAUAGACAUUAGAGUGGAUGAGGUGGAGAUGGCAAGUAGUAUUUCUCCAUUGCUAAAUGUUUUUUUAGAGAACAGUCCUAAAAGCUAUUCUUUUAAGAUCUUUCAAAAUCAUGCAACAGUCUAGAAAUAGCUCAGUUUAUCAAAGAUUAAUUACAUUCUCUCUCACAGGCUGAUGGAAAAUGCAUUGGAGUCUAAUCCAGAAUCACAGCCAGAAAUCUAGAGUCACAAGAAUUCACAAGUCCAUGAAUUUCACCAAGAUCCUUUUUUAUGCCCCUCCUCAAAUUCAUUCUUAUGAUGGCCUUUACGAUGGAAUAAUAAUUCAGUCUUGGAACCAAUAAGAAACACUACUGAAUUUGUCAGGAGUCCACAUUUGCAAGUAGAAUAAACCCAGCUCAAAUCAAUUUCA
This 799-nucleotide long non-coding RNA is filed under the name Felis catus (domestic cat). RNAcentral describes it as "lncRNA (ENSFCAG00000047645.1)". Lineage: Eukaryota; Metazoa; Chordata; Mammalia; Carnivora; Felidae. The record is from RNAcentral.